RNAcentral lists this ribosomal RNA (433 nucleotides) under uncultured bacterium. RNAcentral's name for it is "partial 16S ribosomal RNA". It matches the Rfam family "Bacterial small subunit ribosomal RNA", at positions 28 to 507 of the family's 1533-position model. The record is from RNAcentral.
GACGAACGCUGGCGGCAUGCCUAACACAUGCAAGUCGAACGAGACGUUCUGUUCUCGGUGCGGACGGGUUCGUAACCCGUGAGAACCUUCCCUUAGGGUGGGAAUAACUCGCCGAAAGGGGUUCUAAUACCGGAGAAUGUCUUCGGACCAAAGAAUUAUCGCGUUUGGAUGGGUCCGCGUUGGAUUAGCUAGUUGGUAGGAGAAAAGCCUACCAAGGCGACGAUCCAUAGCUCGUCUGAGAGGAUGAUCAGACACACUGGGACUGAGACACGGCCCAGACUCCUACGAGAGGGAGCAGUGGAGAAUAUUGGAAAGUGGGCGAAAGUCUGAUCCCGCAAUGCCGCGUGAGUGAAGAAGGCCUUAGGGUUGUAAAGCUCUUUUAGCAGGGAAGAUAAUGACGGUACCGGGAGAAUAAGCACCGGCUAACUCCGUG